Long non-coding RNA from Mya arenaria, 2600 nucleotides. RefSeq lists it as uncharacterized. The record is from RefSeq and is a predicted model, not a curated record. NCBI's taxonomy places the organism in Eukaryota, Metazoa, Mollusca, Bivalvia, Myida, Myidae. The transcript is spliced from 2 exons.
UAUUCCUACAUUUGCUACAAACGAAUACUUUUCCUUAAUUAUGUCUAUAGUUUUAAACAAAGUGCACUUGAUUGAUCCUUGGGUGAUGCUCUUUAAAAGCCUUAAGGCAUUAUAAUUUCCGGUUGCCGUGACAACCGAAACAAAACCGAUGGAAUGAUGUUCAACUUAUUGAACAGAAUCGUUCCAAAGGUGACUCUAUACAAAUGCUGUUAAUGAGUGAAAUGAGUGGACUGAUUUUUAGCUCUACUGGCCAAAGACCAGAACAGCUUAUGUGAUGGUAAUGUGUACGUAGUAUGUGCCUCCGUUCGUCUGUAAACAAUCGCUUGUGAACAUUAUACAGUGUUCAGUUUUGAUUGUAUCUCGAUGAAACUUGUACACUGUAGUAUUUAGAUAUGCAUUAGAGCUUGGUUUCAUUCGAAAACCAGUCAGAUCCACCCAUGCAUGCCUAGAUUAUGGGCCUUGAAAGUAUGAAAAAGUAUGUGAGUCUGUAAACGAUUGCUUGUGAACAUGAUACAGUCUUCACUUUGAUUGUAUUUCGAUGAAACUUCUACAAUAUUUAGAUAUCCAUUAAAGCUCGGUUCCUUUUGAAAACCAGCCAGAUCCGCCAAUGGGUGCCUAGAUUAUGGGUCUUGAAAGUAUAAAAAAAUGCUAUGUUUAGCUAAGUCUAUUUUUAGCCAAGUCUACAUGAGCGAAGUCUAUUUUUAGCCAAGUUUACAUGUAAAGUCACAAUUGCUUAUAAAUGUUUGUUCAAAUAUACCCCUGGGGUCAUAGGUUUGGUAUACUUAAAUUGGGAAAUCUUAAAAACCUUGGCCACACCAUAUUAAUAACUUGUUCAUCAGAUUUCCCCCACCUAUUUCUUCAGAAAAGCAAAAAACUUUUUUUAUUUUUUAUCACUAGUUUUUUUUUUUUUUACGAGCGCUAAUUUGUUUAGUAGAAUGUAGCCCUUUCCCUUAUAACCGUGUUUUUCGAUCGUAACAAUUAUCAAAGCACUGGCUAGUCUCAAUCAUGCAGCCGCUCUAAUUAGAGUCAAUGAAUGAUAUAGGCCCUGAUACAAACGUCUAGAUGAUCGAGACUAAAUUGGCAACAUGAAAACAUUUAUUUCACUUUCUGAUUCUUGAAAAUUACGUGAACAAUGACAAUUCUACCACCAUUUAAAGUUUGAUUAAAUUUUGGACAAAUGUGUUUGUUUUAAUUUGGCUUCUGCUUAAAGUAAACGUAAAUAUACUUGACAAGAAGUGCUGAAUUUCACUGUGAAUGACAGUGAUUAUCCAAAGUUUGAAUUUGGUUAGGACAUGUUUGACGGAAAUUCGGAUGAUCGUUACCUUGAAAAGACAGUGCCACUGUCAUCUAUACCUACUACACCUGUCCAGAUUCCUCCGAUGCAGCAGAUCAUGAAAUUCCCCAUGAGGCAACGAGGGCGUGCUCGUGGUGGAAGCCUUGGUCGCCGAUGAGUCAAUGUUUGUGGACAGUAGAACGACACUAAAAAUUAACCUGACUGACAUUCCUAUGUGCUUCAUGCAAUCCCUUGAGUUUUACCAUUCACAAAAAAACAUCAAACAAGCCGGAUUGUGUAUAUUUUGUAAAUAUUAGUCAAAAAGAAAAUAAAAAAAAUGGUGUCAGACUGUGUGAUUGGAAAUAGGUAUUAAUCACACUUUGUUUGGAAUAAAUGUUUGUAGAUUUUUUAGAUGUUCAUGUGUAUAUGUAAGCUAUAUGUGGAAAUCAUUCAAGUGUUAAAUAUUUAUGCUGAUUGGUUUUUGUCUCUGAAAAAAUAUUGCAUAUUCUUGUAUUUUCUUGAAAUAUUUUUUUGCUAUAUAAGAAAUUGACACAAUCAGUAUUUACAGUACAAAAGAAGUAAAAGUGUCUUUUGUAUUUCUAUUACGUGUCUAAAUUUGAACAAGAUAUCUAAAAAAAUUAAGAAAAAUCUGCAAGUUUAAAAAAGAUAGGCGUUUAAUUCUGAGAAAGCCUAAAAUCAAUCUGGCGCUGGCUGGAAUUUUCUGUGACAUAUUUGGUGCUGAAAUGGUUUACAAUACGGUGUAGGAUUUUUGUAAAUUCUCUUCCAGAACUAAGAUGGCUACAAAGGCCAAUCGUGAAGUCAUUGCAAGAGCGAUAGCUAUAGUUUAUAUUUGAUUGCAAAUGCCUAUAUUUAUUUUGUGAGUUAUUUUUCAAGUCACCUUGUCUAGUCAUUUCCAUGGCAUGAGAUAUGACAAUGUAUUUUAAUAGAGAAUUAUUUUUAACCAAGUUUUCCUAAGGAAAAGUGGAAAACCUAGUUAAUAGAUUUUGAUAUGCCAUUGGGCAGACACAGGUGGCUGUGACCAUUGGCACUUGUGUCCAGGCUUUAACUUAGCCAUGCAUAGGGUAUUUUGAAAAAAUAAAUUCAAAAAGGUUUAAAAAACUGGAAAACUGGUUUUGAGUUCUCUCAUUUAUUAAAUAUUUUAAAGGAAUACAUUUGCUUGAUCUCAAAUAGCAUUUGUUUGAUCUCAAAACUAAUAUUUGUAAAGAAUUAUCUUUGAGUGUUAUCAUUCUUUCACUGGAUGUUAUCCUUGUACUGUUUACAAUAUCAUUGUUAAGUUAAUAAGUGAAUAAAAUGUGAGCAAAAGCGA